GGGGAACGGGUGAGGUAAUUUUUUGGAACCUUGCCCCAGUAGUGGGGGGAUAAAUACGGGAAAAGCGAAGCUAAUUCCGCAUUUUUCUCUUUCGGAGGAAAGGGGGGGGGAUUCAUUUGACCCUCUCGCUAUUGGAGCGGCCGAUAUCAGAUUAGUUAGUUGGUGGGGUAACGGCCUACCAAGGCAGUGAUCUGUAGCUGGUUUGAGAGGACGACCAGCCACACUGGGACUGAGACACGGCCCAGACUCCUACGGGAGGCAGCAGUGGGGAAUUUUCGACAAUGGGGGAAACCCUGAUCGAGCCAUCCCGCGUGUGGGACGAAGGCCUUCGGGUUGUAAACCACUUUUCUUAGCGAAGAAAAGUCUUAGGCUAAUACCUUAAGACGCUGACGGUAGCUAAGGAAUAAGCAUCGGCUAACUACGUGCCAGCAGCCGCGGUAAUACGUAGGAUGCAAGCGUUAAUCGGAAUUACUGGGCGUAAAGGGUGCGCAGGCGGCUUGGAAAGAACGGUGUGAAAUCCCGGGGCUCAACCCCGGAACUGCACUAUUAACUAUCAAGCUAGAGUAUGUCAGAGGGGGGUGGAAUUCCGCGUGUAGCAGUGAAAUGCGUAGAUAUGCGGAGGAACACCAAUGGCGAAGGCAGCCCCCUGGGAUAAUACUGACGCUCAGGCACGAAAGCGUGGGUAGCAAACAGGAUUAGAUACCCUGGUAGUCCACGCCCUAAACGAUGUCAACUAGCUGUGGGCCGGUUACGGCUUAGUAGCGCAGCUAACGCGUGAAGU
RNAcentral lists this ribosomal RNA (781 nucleotides) under uncultured bacterium. RNAcentral's name for it is "bacterial SSU rRNA". It matches the Rfam family "Bacterial small subunit ribosomal RNA", at positions 97 to 865 of the family's 1533-position model. The record is from RNAcentral.